AAGACUGUAUUUCACAGGAUCAUUUCUGUAGUCAGUCUUCAUGCUUUAUCGUUUCUACUCGAAACCAAAACCAGCCAUGAUGAAGAGUUGUGGCGUUUUUUCCUGAGCGUGAAGCCGGCAUGACGAUAGGUCUCUGACCAGUUGUCAUUGCUAUUGAUGAUCGUUCACUUUCCAUCUUCGAUGGGAAGCGAGGGAAAGAAUGCUCUCAGAGUGGU
This is a small nucleolar RNA of Clunio marinus, 215 nucleotides long. It matches the Rfam family "Small nucleolar RNA U3". From Rfam's summary of the family: Small nucleolar RNAs (snoRNAs) are involved in the processing and modification of rRNA in the nucleolus. There are two main classes of snoRNAs: the box C/D class, and the box H/ACA class. U3 snoRNA is a member of the box C/D class. NCBI's taxonomy places the organism in Eukaryota, Metazoa, Arthropoda, Insecta, Diptera, Chironomidae. The record is from Rfam.